CAGUCGCCGCGGGAAUAGGUAGGUGGCAAGCGUUGUUCGGAAUUAUUGGGCGUAAAGCGCGCGCAGGUGGUUUAGUAAGUCUGAUGUGAAAGCCCACGGCUCAACCGUGGAGGGUCAUUGGAAACUGUUAAACUUGAGUGCAGGAGAGAAAAGUGGAAUUCCUAGUGUAGCGGUGAAAUGCGUAGAGAUUAGGAGGAACACCAGUGGCGAAGGCGGCUUUUUGGCCUGUAACUGACGCUGAGGUGCGAAAGCGUGGGGAGCAAACAGGAUUAGAUACCCGUGUAGUCCCUGUCUCUUAUAC
This 301-nucleotide ribosomal RNA is filed under the name uncultured bacterium. Its description in RNAcentral is "partial 16S ribosomal RNA". It matches the Rfam family "Bacterial small subunit ribosomal RNA", at positions 509 to 807 of the family's 1533-position model. The record is from RNAcentral.